UACGUAGGGCGCAAGCGUUGUCCGGAAUUACUGGGCGUAAAGCGUGCGCAGGCGGUUUUGUAAGCCAGGUGUGAAAUCCCCGGGCUCAACCUGGGAAUGGCAUUUGGGACUGCAAGGCUGGAGUGUGGCAGAGGAGACUGGAAUUCCUGGUGUAGCAGUGAAAUGCGUAGAUAUCAGGAGGAAUACCGAUGGCGAAGGCAGGUCUCUGGGCUGACACUGACGCUCAUGCACGAAAGCGUGGGGAGCAAACAGG
This 253-nucleotide ribosomal RNA is filed under the name uncultured bacterium. RNAcentral describes it as "partial 16S ribosomal RNA". It matches the Rfam family "Bacterial small subunit ribosomal RNA", at positions 524 to 776 of the family's 1533-position model. The record is from RNAcentral.